UACGAAGGGGGCUAGCGUUGCUCGGAAUCACUGGGCGUAAAGCGCACGUAGGCGGACUCUUAAGUCAGGGGUGAAAUCCUGGAGCUCAACUCCAGAACUGCCUUUGAUACUGGGAGUCUUGAGUUCGGGAGAGGUGAGUGGAACUGCGAGUGUAGAGGUGAAAUUCGUAGAUAUCUGGAGGAACACCGGUGGCGAAGGCGGCAUCCUGGACCGGCAUUGACGCUGAGGCGCGAAAGCUAGGGGAGCAAACGGG
RNAcentral lists this ribosomal RNA (253 nucleotides) under uncultured bacterium. RNAcentral's name for it is "partial 16S ribosomal RNA". It matches the Rfam family "Bacterial small subunit ribosomal RNA", at positions 524 to 776 of the family's 1533-position model. The record is from RNAcentral.